UGGGGAAUAUUGCACAAUGGGCGCAAGCCUGAUGCAGCCAUGCCGCGUGUGUGAAGAAGGCCUUCGGGUUGUAAAGCACUUUCAGCGGGGAGGAAGGUGGUGAGCUUAAUACGCUCAUCAAUUGACGUUACUCGCAGAAGAAGCACCGGCUAACUCCGUGCCAGCAGCCGCGGUAAUACGGAGGGUGCAAGCGUUAAUCGGAAUUACUGGGCGUAAAGCGCACGCAGGCGGUUUGUUAAGUCAGAUGUGAAAUCCCCGGGCUCAACCUGGGAACUGCAUUUGAAACUGGCAAGCUAGAGUCUCGUAGAGGGGGGUAGAAUUCCAGGUGUAGCGUGAAAUGCGUAGAGAUCUGGAGGAAUACCGGUGGCGAAGGCGGCCCCCUGGACGAAGACUGACGCUCAGGUGCCGAAAGCGUGGGGAGCAAACAGGAUUAGAUACCCCGUGGCUAGUCCACGCUGUAAACGAUGUCGAUUUGGAGGUUGUGCCCUUGAGGCGUGGCUUCCGGAGCUAACGCGUUAAUCGACCGCCUGGGGAGUACGGCCGCAAGGUU
RNAcentral lists this ribosomal RNA (550 nucleotides) under uncultured bacterium. RNAcentral describes it as "partial 16S ribosomal RNA". It matches the Rfam family "Bacterial small subunit ribosomal RNA", at positions 355 to 895 of the family's 1533-position model. The record is from RNAcentral.